GUAUGAUUCCGUGUCCAAACAAGCAUGCCGUGCAGAAAUGAAUUUCCUUAUUGCUCAGAUGAUGUGCUGAUCACGAGCCAUUACAACGAACCUGACCGCUUUAGAGCAGUGCUCACCGACCCUGCGUCCCGACUUGCACAGUCGUGCCCAAAGGUUUGCACACCCCUUUCACAAUCUGCUAAAUCGUAAUACUGUUAACAAAAUAAGAGCGAUCAUUAAAAAUCCCAUGUUUUUUAUCUAGUACUGUCCUGAAUAAGCUCUUUCACAUAACAGAUGCGUACACAGUCCGCAAGACAAGAUAAUAAUGAACAUUUUUGAACCGGAUGAUCGGUGUAAAUUGUUAUUGUUUUGUUUAAAGAUCUUCUUUCCUGUUCAAAAGUUGACAUCCUCCUGGAUCUUAAUGUAUCGUGUUGCCUUCUUGAGCAUGAGUGAACGUUUGCACCUUUUGUAAUAGUCGUGUGCGAGUCCCCCAGUUGUCCUCAGUGUGAAAAGAUGGAUCUGAACAUCACAUAGCUGCUGUUGGAAAGAGGUCAAAUAUGCAGAAUAUGCUGGGAAAGUAAAGAAUGUGCAGGACCUGGAGGAUUUUUCUGAAGAACAGUGGGUAGUUUAACUGCUCAGGACAAACAAGAGACUCAUGAACAACUCUCACAAAACAUAAACACAGUCACUGAUCAUCCAGCAAAAGUACUUUGACUCAGGAGAUUACAAUAUGGCCAAAGCCAAAAUGAAGAAUAAACAGCUUCCUGCAGCUGCGGCGGAGAAAACCGAGAUCACCGGAGAUCACAUCCCAACUCCUCAGGACCUGCCACAAAGGAAGACCUCGCUGGUGGCCAGCAAACUAGCUGUUUGAUAUGAACUCUGCGAGGACUUUCCUGUUACCAUUCCUGAUGCUUCAAUCUCUGCUUUACCUCCAUUUUACGUGUGUGUGUGUGUCGCUCUCGUUCUCUCUCUUUGUUCUUUUGUGUCCAUUUCCUUCCCUAGCUUUCUAUCGCCUGUGUAAUUGCUCCGAAGAAAUGCUGUUUUGAUCAAAUGUUUGCUGCCGGAUGCCAUCCUUUACCCGUUCACAUGUGGAAACGAAACGUUUUGGCUUUUGAAGUAGUAGAUGUAGUCGCAAUUUCUACUCGCAGGUGUGAAUGCACGGUUAUCUGACUGAAACAAUUGAACAGAAACCUUUUUUAGGAUUUUACUAGUUUUACUCACUCACUCACUCACUCACUCCCUUUCUUCUUUGCAACGGUUCAUGUGUGGUCCAGACAUUUACACUAGCUCUCUCAUUUGUUAUAACGAAAUUCCAGUAAGACGCAGAGGGUUUUUCCAACGUGUGCUGCUCGCCUUCUGCGUGUGAUUGGUGAAACUUGCCUUAAUGAUAUCUUCCACGGUUUCUCCUGGGCAAUAUUUGCCCACUCUGAUCAGCGAAGCCCUUCGGGGUUUAGCCACAAGCUUGUGCCGAUGUGUUUUUCCAGUUAGGUCUUCUGGUUGGGGCAGCUCACUCUUAUUCUCCAAACUGUGCACAAGCACCGACUGUCACAACUGUGCCAUUUGUUUUGUAAAUAAACUAGUUUUGCA
Molecule: long non-coding RNA, 1566 nt
Organism: Ictalurus punctatus (channel catfish)
Lineage: Eukaryota; Metazoa; Chordata; Actinopteri; Siluriformes; Ictaluridae
Source: Ensembl